GACGAACGCUGGCGGCGUGCCUAAUACAUGCAAGUCGAGCGCAGGAAACUGACGGAACUCUUCGGAGGGAAGGCAGUGGAAUGAGCGGCGGACGGGUGAGUAACACGUAAGGAACCUGCCUCAAGGAUUGGGAUAACUACGAGAAAUCGGAGCUAAUACCGGAUAGUUCAACGGACCGCAUGGUCCGCUGAUGAAAGGCGCUUCGGCGUCACCUUGAGAUGGCCUUGCGGUGCAUUAGCUAGUUGGUGGGGUAACGGCCCACAAAGGCGACGAUGCAUAGCCGACCUGAGAGGGUGAUCGGCCACACUGGGACUGAGACACGGCCCAGACUCCUACGGGAGGCAGCAGUAGGGAAUCUUCCACAAUGGACGAAAGUCUGAUGGAGCAACGCCGCGUGAGUGAUGAAGGUUUUCGGAUCGUAAAACUCUGUUGUAAGGGAAGAACACGUACGAGAGGGAAUGCUCGUACCUUGACGGUACCUUACGAGAAAGCCACGGCUAACUACGUGCCAGCCGCCGCAGUAA
This 524-nucleotide ribosomal RNA is filed under the name uncultured bacterium. Its description in RNAcentral is "partial 16S ribosomal RNA". It matches the Rfam family "Bacterial small subunit ribosomal RNA", at positions 28 to 523 of the family's 1533-position model. The record is from RNAcentral.